Molecule: ribosomal RNA, 464 nt
Filed under: Vreelandella stevensii
Lineage: Bacteria; Pseudomonadati; Pseudomonadota; Gammaproteobacteria; Oceanospirillales; Halomonadaceae
Description: partial 16S ribosomal RNA
Rfam family: Bacterial small subunit ribosomal RNA
Source: RNAcentral
CCUACGGGUGCAGCAGUGGGGAAUAUUGGACAAUGGGCGAAAGCCUGAUCCAGCCAUGCCGCGUGUGUGAAGAAGGCCUUCGGGUUGUAAAGCACUUUCAGUGGGGAAGAAAGCCUUGGGGCUAAUACCCUCGAGGAAGGACAUCACCCACAGAAGAAGCACCGGCUAACUCCGUGCCAGCAGCCGCGGUAAUACGGAGGGUGCGAGCGUUAAUCGGAAUUACUGGGCGUAAAGCGCGCGUAGGCGGUCUGAUAAGCCGGUUGUGAAAGCCCCGGGCUCAACCUGGGAACGGCAUCCGGAACUGUCAGGCUAGAGUGCAGGAGAGGAAGGUAGAAUUCCCGGUGUAGCGGUGAAAUGCGUAGAGAUCGGGAGGAAUACCAGUGGCGAAGGCGGCCUUCUGGACUGACACUGACGCUGAGGUGCGAAAGCGUGGGUAGCAAACAGGAUUAGAUACCCGGGUAGUC